UGCUUAACACAUGCAAGUCGAACGGUGAAAGAGAGCUUGCUCUCUGGAUCAGUGGCGAACGGGUGAGUAACACGUGAGCAAUCUGCCCCUGACUCUGGGAUAAGCGCUGGAAACGGCGUCUAAUACCGGAUACGAGCUGCGAAGGCAUCUUCAGCAGCUGGAAAGAACUUCGGUCAGGGAUGAGCUCGCGGCCUAUCAGCUAGUUGGUGAGGUAAUGGCUCACCAAGGCGUCGACGGGUAGCCGGCCUGAGAGGGUGACCGGCCACACUGGGACUGAGACACGGCCCAGACUCCUACGGGAGGCAGCAGUGGGGAAUAUUGCACAAUGGGCGCAAGCCUGAUGCAGCAACGCCGCGUGAGGGACGACGGCCUUCGGGUUGUAAACCUCUUUUAGCAGGGAAGAAGCGAAAGUGACGGUACCUGCAGAAAAAGCACCGGCUAACUACGUGCCAGCCGCCGCGGUAAUACGUAGGGUGCAAGCGUUAUC
Molecule: ribosomal RNA, 487 nt
Filed under: Microbacterium sp. B94
Lineage: Bacteria; Bacillati; Actinomycetota; Actinomycetes; Micrococcales; Microbacteriaceae
Description: bacterial SSU rRNA
Rfam family: Bacterial small subunit ribosomal RNA
Source: RNAcentral